GCCCAGAUAGCUCAGUCGGUAGAGCACAUCCUUGGUAAGGAUGAGGUCGUCGGUUCAAAUCCGAUUCUGGGCU
RNAcentral lists this transfer RNA (73 nucleotides) under bacterium. Its description in RNAcentral is "tRNA-Thr". It matches the Rfam family "tRNA". Rfam says of the family: Transfer RNA (tRNA) molecules are approximately 80 nucleotides in length. Their secondary structure includes four short double-helical elements and three loops (D, anti-codon, and T loops). RNAcentral also lists the same sequence under 2 other names. The record is from RNAcentral.